RNAcentral lists this ribosomal RNA (246 nucleotides) under uncultured bacterium. Its description in RNAcentral is "partial 16S ribosomal RNA". It matches the Rfam family "Bacterial small subunit ribosomal RNA", at positions 796 to 1041 of the family's 1533-position model. RNAcentral also lists the same sequence under 1 other name. The record is from RNAcentral.
CACGCCGUAAACGAUGUCUGCUAGCCGUUGGGAUCCUUGAGGUUUCGGUGGCGCAGCUAACGCGAUAAGCAGACCGCCUGGGGAGUACGGCCGCAAGGUUAAAACUCAAAUGAAUUGACGGGGGCCCGCACAAGCGGUGGAGCAUGUGGUUUAAUUCGAUGCAACGCGAAGAACCUUACCAGGUCUUGACAUCCAGAGAACUUUCCAGAGAUGGAUUGGUGCCUUCGGGAACUCUGAGACAGGUGC